This 552-nucleotide ribosomal RNA is filed under the name uncultured Paraglomus. RNAcentral's name for it is "SSU rRNA". It matches the Rfam family "Eukaryotic small subunit ribosomal RNA", at positions 548 to 1103 of the family's 1831-position model. The record is from RNAcentral. Lineage: Eukaryota; Fungi; Glomeromycota; Glomeromycetes; Paraglomerales; Paraglomeraceae.
UUGGAGGGCAAGUCUGGUGCCAGCAGCCGCGGUAAUUCCAGCUCCAAUAGCGUAUAUUAAAGUUGUUGCAGUUAAAAAGCUCGUAGUUGAAUUUCAGGCCUGGCUGGACGGUCCGCCCUUCGGGUGAGUACUGUCUGUGGUCGGGUCCUACCUUCUGGCGAAGCGUCAUGGCCUUAACCGGCCGUGGCGGGGAACCAGGACUUUUACUGUGAAAAAAUUAGAGUGUUCAAAGCAGGCAAAUCGCUUGGAUACAUUAGCAUGGAAUAAUGGAAUAGGACAAUGGUUCUAUUUGUUGGUUUCUAGGACCGUUGUAAUGAUUAAUAGGGAUAGUUGGGGGCAUUAGUAUUCAAUUGUCAGAGGUGAAAUUCUUGGAUUUAUUGAAGACUAACUACUGCGAAAGCAUUUGCCAAGGAUGUUUUCAUUAAUCAAGAACGAAAGUUAGGGGAUCGAAGACGAUCAGAUACCGUCGUAGUCUUAACCAUAAACUAUGCCGACUAGGAAUCGGGCGAUGUUGAAAAAAUGACGCGCUCGGCACCCUAUGGGAAACCAAAG